UCCGGUUUGUCACCGGCAGUCUCAUUAGAGUGCCCUUUCGUAGCAACUAAUGACAAGGGUUGCGCUCGUUGCGGGACUUAACCCAACAUCUCACGACACGAGCUGACGACAGCCAUGCAGCACCUGUGUUCCAGUUCUCUUGCGAGCACAGCCAAAUCUCUUCGGCCUUCCAGACAUGUCAAGGGUAGGUAAGGUUUUUCGCGUUGCAUCGAAUUAAUCCACAUAAUCCACCGCUUGUGCGGGUCCCCGUCAAUUCCUUUGAGUUUUAACCUUGCGGCCGUACUCCCCAGGCGGUCGACUUCACGCGUUAGCUUCGUUACUGAGAGUGUCAAACCCCCAACAACCAGUCGACAUCGUUUAGGGCGUGGACUAC
This 373-nucleotide unclassified non-coding RNA is filed under the name uncultured Gammaproteobacteria bacterium. RNAcentral's name for it is "contains 16S-23S intergenic spacer region". The record is from RNAcentral. Lineage: Bacteria; Pseudomonadati; Pseudomonadota; Gammaproteobacteria.